RNAcentral lists this long non-coding RNA (300 nucleotides) under Brassica napus (rape). RNAcentral describes it as "long non-coding RNA (BNAP_LNC006648)". The record is from RNAcentral. Lineage: Eukaryota; Viridiplantae; Streptophyta; Magnoliopsida; Brassicales; Brassicaceae.
UGACUGUUGUAUAUAAGGAAGUUAUAUUAUGGAUUCAAAUUAUUUGAAUUAAUUAAUAAUUGUGCACCUUGCAAACAUUUUCUCAAUUUUGUCAUAUAUAUGGAAGUUUGAUUAUAGUGUCUACAAAAUUAAGGUAAGUUUAGUAUAUAAUUGGAGCGCAAGUUAUGCAAAAUUAAAUAGGUAAUAUCAGUAUUAAUUACGGCAAAUUGAUUUUGUUUCAUUAACCCUACAUGUUUGACUUCUUAAUAUAAAUAUAUGUUGUCUACAAUUCAUCGACGUCUAUUUAUCUAAACAUUCUCU